Molecule: ribosomal RNA, 246 nt
Filed under: uncultured bacterium
Lineage: Bacteria
Description: partial 16S ribosomal RNA
Rfam family: Bacterial small subunit ribosomal RNA
Source: RNAcentral
AUACGGAGGAUGCGAGCGUUAUCCGGAUUUAUUGGGUUUAAAGGGUGCGUAGGCGGUUUGUCAAGUCAGCGGUCAAACUGCGGGGCUUAACCUCGUAUUGCCGUUGAAACUGGCUGACUAGCGUGGCGUCGAGGUGUGCGGAAUGCGUUGUGUAGCGGUGAAAUGCAUAGAUAUGACGCAGAACUCCGAUUGCGAAGGCAGCACACCGGGCGCCUACGGACGCUGAGGCACGAAAGCGUGGGUAUC